AGUCGAACGGUAACAGGUCUUCGGAUGCUGACGAGUGGCGAACGGGUGAGUAAUACAUCGGAACGUGCCCGAUCGUGGGGGAUAACGGAGCGAAAGCUUUGCUAAUACCGCAUACGAUCUACGGAUGAAAGCAGGGGACCGCAAGGCCUUGCGCGGACGGAGCGGCCGAUGGCAGAUUAGGUAGUUGGUGGGAUAAAAGCUUACCAAGCCGACGAUCUGUAGCUGGUCUGAGAGGACGACCAGCCACACUGGGACUGAGACACGGCCCAGACUCCUACGGGAGGCAGCAGUGGGGAAUUUUGGACAAUGGGCGAAAGCCUGAUCCAGCCAUGCCGCGUGCAGGAUGAAGGCCUUCGGGUUGUAAACUGCUUUUGUACGGAACGAAAAGACUCCUUCUAAUAAAGGGGGUCCAUGACGGUACCGUAAGAAUAAGCACCGGCUAACUACGUGCCAGCAGCCGCGGUAAUACGUAGGGUGCAAGCGUUAAUCGGAAUUACUGGGCGUAAAGCGUGCGCAGGCGGUUAUAUAAGACAGAUGUGAAAUCCCCGGGCUCAACCUGGGAACUGCAUUUGUGACUGUAUAGCUAGAGUACGGUAGAGGGGGAUGGAAUUCCGCGUGUAGCAGUGAAAUGCGUAGAUAUGCGGAGGAACACCGAUGGCGAAGGCAAUCCCCUGGACCUGUACUGACGCUCAUGCAC
RNAcentral lists this ribosomal RNA (697 nucleotides) under Acidovorax sp. Its description in RNAcentral is "bacterial SSU rRNA". It matches the Rfam family "Bacterial small subunit ribosomal RNA", at positions 60 to 754 of the family's 1533-position model. Lineage: Bacteria; Pseudomonadati; Pseudomonadota; Betaproteobacteria; Burkholderiales; Comamonadaceae. The record is from RNAcentral.